Molecule: long non-coding RNA, 74 nt
Organism: Sebastes umbrosus (honeycomb rockfish)
Lineage: Eukaryota; Metazoa; Chordata; Actinopteri; Perciformes; Sebastidae
Exons: 5
Source: RefSeq, a predicted model, not a curated record
GUAGGGAUGAGACGUUGAGGACAGGUUUAAUUUUGGCUUUGAAGCUGAAGUAGGAGAGAUUGGAGCAGAUAUGA